AUUGAACGCUGGCGGCAGGCCUAACACAUGCAAGUCGAGCGGAUGAAGGGAGCUUGCUCCUGGAUUCAGCGGCGGACGGGUGAGUAAUGCCUAGGAAUCUGCCUGGUAGUGGGGGAUAACGUCCGGAAACGGGCGCUAAUACCGCAUACGUCCUGAGGGAGAAAGUGGGGGAUCUUCGGACCUCACGCUAUCAGAUGAGCCUAGGUGGGAUUAGCUAGUUGGUGGGGUAAAGGGCUACCAAGGCGACGAUCCGUAACUGGUCUGAGAGGAUGAUCAGUCACACUGGAACUGAGACACGGUCCAGACUCCUACGGGAGGCAGCAGUGGGGAAUAUUGGACAAUGGGCGAAAGCCUGAUCCAGCCAUGCCGCGUGUGUGAAGAAGGUCUUCGGAUUGUAAAGCACUUUAAGUUGGGAGGAAGGGCAGUAAGUUAAUACCUUGCUGUUUUGACGUUACCAACAGAAUAAGCACCGGCUAACUUCGUG
This 484-nucleotide ribosomal RNA is filed under the name uncultured bacterium. Its description in RNAcentral is "partial 16S ribosomal RNA". It matches the Rfam family "Bacterial small subunit ribosomal RNA", at positions 30 to 507 of the family's 1533-position model. The record is from RNAcentral.